RNAcentral lists this long non-coding RNA (2875 nucleotides) under Gossypium raimondii (Peruvian cotton). Its description in RNAcentral is "long non-coding RNA (GRAI_LNC008735)". Lineage: Eukaryota; Viridiplantae; Streptophyta; Magnoliopsida; Malvales; Malvaceae. The record is from RNAcentral.
UUGAUGAAUUUUUCGAUUAGGGGAUAAUUUGUUAAAUUAAUAAAAGUACAAGGAUUUAAUGUGAAAUUGUUGCAUAAAUGGGAUGUUUUGAAUAUCAUGAAAUUCAGCUAUCUUGAGUUUGUAUUAAAAAUGGUUAAUUUGCAUGUUUUGGGCUUAGGGACUAAAUUGAAUAAAAAUAAAACUUUAGGGGCAAUUUUACAAAAAUGUCAAAAAUAACCAAAUUGCCUGAAAUGAAUUGUUUUAUUGUCUAAAUUAAUAUAUGGAAUGAAAUUAUUAAUUUAGAUUAAGGUCGAGUGGAAAAUUGAAGAAAAUGGAAAAUUACCAAAAUGCCCAUGAAUCUUGGUAUUUCUGCAAUUUAACUAGGUAAGUUCGUAUGAACUAUAUUCUGUAUAAUUUUGAUUAAAGUGAAUGUUAAUUGGUGAUUGGUAUUAUAUAUAUAUUCUAUUGUUGGAAUUGAAUUAUUAUUGGAAAUAUAUUAUCGAAUUUAAUACUCAGUUUGGAUUGAAUGCGGGAUUUGAGUACAUUCGUAAAUUGGAGGGAGACAUCGGCAUAUUACCCAAGUAAACCAGCAUUCAGCAUUUGUUGCGAACUCUCAUGUUUUACUUUAUAUUUGGAGCAAUUUGGGUGGAUCAGCUCUCACGAGCUUCUGUUGGCGUGUUAGGGAGGACCAACUCUUAUGAGCUUCUGUUAACGAUGUGCUCUUAUCCGUAAGUCGUUCUUCGAUUUCAGAAAGUCUUAGUAAAAUGAUUUAUUUAAUGAAUUUGAAAGUUAUCCAAUGAUAUUCUAAAUGGUUCAACGGGCAACGUUCUGUUAUGAGAUGAUAUGAGUUUGAUACAAACUAAUACAGGUAUAUACAUGAAAUAUACGGAAAUGAUGGUACAUGAUAUGUUUAUAUAUAUAAUGAUAUAUUGAAAUGGAUGAUAUAUGUAUAUGAAGAAACGGUAAGAGAAUGUUAUGUAUGACAUGAAAAUAUACGAAUAUCUUUGAUAUGUUGAUACAUGGAAAUCAUAUAAGUUGAGACGAGUAAUAAACUUAAGUGUGACAUGUUGAGAUAAUAAGAUUAUCGAUGUUGAAUUUAUAUAAAGUAUGUUCAAGUAUGUUAACAAGUGUUCUUGUUUGAUGCUUAGGCAAAUGCCAAGCUGUUGGUUGAAUGGUAAUGUGUUUAAUUAUAAGUUGUAUUGAAAUGGUAAGUGUUCAAAUGAAAUUAUGUUUGAGUUCAUAAAAGAGUAGUAAGGUUUAAAGUUAUUUAAAAUCCUACUAUGCUAGGGAUGAUAUGUACAAGUGAUGCUGUGGUUAUAUUCACCUUGUGAAUUGUUGAAUAUAGCUUCAUGAAUCUUGUGGUAUCGGUAUUGGAUUGUUCUUUAUAUGUAUAAAUUUCAUAUUUGAAAUGAAUUGAUAUGAUUAAAGUUUAUACGAGCUUACUAAGCAUUCAUUGCUUACGUAGUUAUUUUUCUUUACUUUUAGAUUAUCGGAAGCUCGAUUGGGUUGGAAGCUUGUCGGAGUUAUAUCACACUAUCCAUCAGUUCUAUCGGUACUUUCGGAUGUUUUAAUUUUGGUUAUAAUGGCAUGUAUAAGUAUUUUGUUUAAUGUUGGCCUAUAUGUAAUUUGUUGAGGUUAGCCAUUUAUUUUGGCUUGUUUUGGAUGCCUAAUUAUGGCAUGCUGAUACGCAUAAUGUUGAUUGUAGGUUGACACCAAAUUGGGUGAGAUAUAUGGCUUGUAAAUUGGUCUAUUUCAGUCCACACGGGCAAAGAUAAUGGCAUGUGUCUCAAUCGUGUGAAACACAUGGCCAGGUGACACGGCCAUGUGUCCCCUGUAUCUUUUAAAGAGUGCAAGUUAGUAUAUUCACAUGGCCUGGCACACGGGAGUGUAACUUGGCCAUGUGACUCAAGUCAGAGAGUUACACGAGCAUGGGUACGGGCUGGGACACGGUCGUGUGUCCCUAUUUCGAAUGUCCACACGGCCUAAGACAUGGGCAUGUCUUUUAAUCGUGUGAGCCACACGACCUGGCCACACAGUCGUGUGACCCCUACAGUGUUGAAAAUUUUAAAUAUUUCUGAAAAAAAUUCUUUGAUUUUUCGAUUUUGUCCCGACAUGUUUCUAAUAUGUAUUUCGGGUCUUGAAGACUCGAUUAUGGGACAAUAUAUAUGAUUUUGAUUGGUUUUAUUAAGAAUAUUGAUAUGUAAUGAAACAUUUGAAAUUUCUGUCUGAAUGAUCCGUAAACUCCGGUAAUGCUCUGUAACCCUGUUCCGGCGAUGGAUACAGGUUAGGGGUGUUACAGGUACAAUACUUCCUGAAAGAAUAUCCAAAUAGGCUUUAAAGAGCAGUAUGGUAUCAAUACUUGCCAUCCAAGCAUUAGUACUUGAGGACUCAAGUAUUGAUACCUCUGACUCAAGUAUUGGUACUUAAAAACUUUGAAUCAAAGAUAUAACUUUGAAGCAAAGAUAUAAUAACAUGGGCCUUGGUAUCGAUACCUAAAGGUUAGGUAUUGAUACCUGAUAACAUUCUAGAAUAACAUAUUUUUAUGUAUUAAUUAUGUAUUUAUUCUGAGUACAAUCUUGCUAAUUUGAGCUAUUUAUGAUCUUUUAUCUCAUAGGGACUAAAUUUGAGGCAAAAGCAAAAUUAAUGGCCAAAAGCGUGAAUUUAGAGAUAAAAUGGGCCAAUGUGCGACACAAGGAAAAGUCGGUGCCAAAAGUACAAGCAUGGAGGAAACAAGGGUUGAAAUGCAAAAAGAAGAGAUUUUAUUCUAUCAGACUCUAUUUUAAUUAUAUUAGGAUAAUUAAUAUUAAGAUAAUUAUUAAGUAUUAUUUAAUUUUAGGAUUUUAUUUAAUUUUAUUUAAUUUUAUUUAUCUUCAAUUAAAUGUAUUUAUCUUUUGAG